CAGCAGCCGCGGGAAUACGAAGGGUGCAAGCGUUACUCGGAAUUACUGGGCGUAAAGCGUGCGUAGGUGGUGGUUUAAGUCCGUUGUGAAAGCCCUGGGCUCAACCUGGGAAUUGCAGUGGAUACUGGGUCACUAGAGUGUGGUAGAGGAUAGUGGAAUUUCCGGUGUAGCAGUGAAAUGCGUAGAGAUCGGAAGGAACAUCUGUGGCGAAGGCGACUAUCUGGGCCAACACUGACACUGAGGCACGAAAGCGUGGGGAGCAAACAGGAUUAGAGACCCCCGUAGCCCCUGUCUCUUAUAC
Molecule: ribosomal RNA, 301 nt
Filed under: uncultured bacterium
Lineage: Bacteria
Description: partial 16S ribosomal RNA
Rfam family: Bacterial small subunit ribosomal RNA
Source: RNAcentral